AUGUCUUGUUUUAAGUUACUAAGGGGACUCUGCGAGCAUCUGAAUAAGCUUAUAAGGCAAUUUUGGUGGGGAAGUAAGGAAGGAAAACGCAAGCCAGCUUGGGUUUCUUGUAAAUAUAUGACUCAACCCAAAUUCAUGGGUGGAUUAGGCUUUCAUGACUUUGAGCUGUUCGAUCUAGCGCUCCUAGCAAGGCAAUCUUGGUGGCUGCUGCAACAACCGGAAUCUUUGUCUGCGAGGCUUUUGAAGGCCAUCUAUUUUCCUCAAAAUACAAUACUAGAUGCUAAGCUUUGUAACCGGCCUUCAUAGGUUUGGCGGGCCAUUUUGGAAGGAAGACUGAUUAGGAGAAUUGGUGAUGGAUCAGCAACAAAAAUAUGGCUGGACAAUUGGAUCCCGAGAAAUGCUACAUUGAGUCCAUUGGCUUAUUUAUUGGCUAACCCACCAGUGAUGGUAAACGAGUUGAUUGACACACACAAUGCAACAUGGAAUAGAGUGGCUCUAGAACAGAGCUUUGUAGCGGCAGAUAUAGCAACAAUUUCAAGCAUUUCGAUCUAUAUACGACUGAUAGAGGACCAUUGGGCAUGGAACUUUGAAAGGAAUGGUUUAUUCUCAGUAAUGUCAGCAUAUCGCAUGUUGACAGACAGAAAGAGGAGGAGGGAAGCAUGGCUAGAAGGCAAUGCUAGCUCAUUGGAUUUCGAAGUUGAAGCCCACAUGGACGUCCCUGUGGUCUGUCAAAGUGCCGAUACGUAA
RNAcentral lists this ribosomal RNA (747 nucleotides) under Triticum aestivum (bread wheat). RNAcentral describes it as "partial small subunit ribosomal RNA". Lineage: Eukaryota; Viridiplantae; Streptophyta; Magnoliopsida; Poales; Poaceae. The record is from RNAcentral.